GCGAGCGGCGGAUGAGUGAGUAACACGUGGGGAACCUGCCCCUAAGUCUGGGAUACCAUUUGGAAACAGGUGCUAAUACCGGAUAAUAAAGCAGAUCGCAUGAUCAGCUUUUGAAAGGCGGCGUAAGCUGUCGCUAAGGGAUGGCCCCGCGGUGCAUUAGCUAGUUGGUAAGGUAACGGCUUACCAAGGCGACGAUGCAUAGCCGAGUUGAGAGACUGAUCGGCCACAUUGGGACUGAGACACGGCCCAAACUCCUACGGGAGGCAGCAGUAGGGAAUCUUCCACAAUGGACGCAAGUCUGAUGGAGCAACGCCGCGUGAGUGAAGAAGGUUUUCGGAUCGUAAAGCUCUGUUGUUGGUGAAGAAGGAUAGAGGUAGUAACUGGCCUUUAUUUGACGGUAAUCAACCAGAAAGUCACGGCUAACUACGUGCCAGCAGCCGCGGUAAUACGUAGGUGGCAAGCGUUGUCCGGAUUUAUUGGGCGUAAAGCGAGCGCAGGCGGAAAAAUAAGUCUAAUGUGAAAGCCCUCGGCUUAACCGAGGAACUGCAUCGGAAACUGUUUUUCUUGAGUGCAGAAGAGGAGAGUGGAACUCCAUGUGUAGCGGUGGAAUGCGUAGAUAUAUGGAAGAACACCAGUGGCGAAGGCGGCUCUCUGGUCUGCAACUGACGCUGAGGCUCGAAAGCAUGGGUAGCGAACAGGAUUAGAUACCCUGGUAGUCCAUGCCGUAAACGAUGAGUGCUAAGUGUUGGGAGGUUUCCGCCUCUCAGUGCUGCAGCUAACGCAUUAAGCACUCCGCCUGGGGAGUACGACCGCAAGGUUGAAACUCAAAGGAAUUGACGGGGGCCC
This 846-nucleotide ribosomal RNA is filed under the name uncultured bacterium. RNAcentral describes it as "bacterial SSU rRNA". It matches the Rfam family "Bacterial small subunit ribosomal RNA", at positions 91 to 922 of the family's 1533-position model. The record is from RNAcentral.